Molecule: ribosomal RNA, 455 nt
Filed under: uncultured bacterium
Lineage: Bacteria
Description: bacterial SSU rRNA
Rfam family: Bacterial small subunit ribosomal RNA
Source: RNAcentral
UACGGGAGGCAGCAGUGGGGAAUAUUGCACAAUGAGCGAAAGCCUGAUGCAGCUAUGCCGCGUGUAUGAAGAAGGCCUUAGGGUUGUAAAGUACUUUCAUCGGGGAGGAAAAAACAAAACUAAUAAUUUUAUUUCUUGACGUUACCCGAAAAAGAAGCACCGGCUAACUCCGUGCCAGCAGCCGCGGUAAUACGGAGGGUGCUAGCGUUAAUCAGAAUUACUGGGCGUAAAGAGCACGUAGGUGGUUUUUUUAAGUCAGAUGUGAAAUCCCUGGGCUUAACCUGGAACUGCAUUUUGAAACUGAAAUACUAGAGUAUCGUAGAGGGAGGUAGAAUUCUAGGUGUAGCGGUGAAAUGCGUAGAUAUCUGGAGGAAUACCUGUGGCGAAAGCGGCCUCCUAAACGAAUACUGACACUGAGGUGCGAAAGCGUGGGGAGCAAACAGGGAUUAGAUACC